AGAAAAUAUUAAGGGCAUUUCAGUCUUUGUAAUAACAUAAUUUACGUGUCUCUUUAAUCGUUCACUUUGUAUGGCGACAUGUACAUUGCAGAUCAUUCCAACAUAUUAGUAGUUGUUUUCGUUUCUUUCUUUAUACUUUGUUUCUCCAGUCUCCAUAGACCCUCUCAGAAUUGUGUGUUCUUGCUCUCAGGGGUGUGCGUUCUAGCUGCAGGUAUGGGGCCGAAUUUGACCAACCACGUUCUUCAAGCCAGCACGACCGACCGAGUGUGUGCAAGUCCGGCUAGAAGGGCGACCUAUGAGUAAUAAGAGGGACGACUUCAUGAUCACGUCGGCCACUCCAUAGCAUGCACUUUAUUUUCUGCUUUUUAAUAUUGGAGCAAGGAUCCUCUAUUAUAUAAAGAGGGAUCCAAGCCUUGUAAAAGGGGGGUUCAUUACUGGAAGUACAUUCUCUCUCUUUCUUCUGUCUCUUACCUUUCAAAAAGUAUCACCUUCUCUCAUUAAUCUAAUUUAUACUAUUGUCAUCUGA
Molecule: long non-coding RNA, 526 nt
Organism: Nicotiana attenuata
Lineage: Eukaryota; Viridiplantae; Streptophyta; Magnoliopsida; Solanales; Solanaceae
Exons: 2
Source: RefSeq, a predicted model, not a curated record